Molecule: ribosomal RNA, 253 nt
Filed under: uncultured bacterium
Lineage: Bacteria
Description: partial 16S ribosomal RNA
Rfam family: Bacterial small subunit ribosomal RNA
Source: RNAcentral
UACAGAGGGUGCGAGCGUUGUCCGGAAUCACUGGGCGUAAAGGGCGCGUAGGUGGUUGGGUAAGCGUGUGGUGAAAGCCCGGGGCUCAACCCCGGGUCGGCCAUGCGAACUGCCCGACUGGAGCACGGUAGAGGCCAAUGGAAUUCCGGGUGUAGCGGUGGAAUGCGUAGAGAUCCGGAAGAACACCGGUGGCGAAGGCGGCGUCCUGGACCAACACUGACACUGAGGAGCGAAAGCCAGGGGAGCAAACGGG